CCUACGGGAGGCAGCAGUGAGGAAUAUUGGUCAAUGGACGAGAGUCUGAACCAGCCACGUCGCGUGAAGGAUGACUGCCCUAUGGGUUGUCAACUUCUUUUAUAAAGGGAUAACACGAGGCACGUGUGCCUUUUUGCAUGUACUUUAUGAAUCAGGCUCGGCUAACUCCGUGCCAGCAGCCGCGGUAAUACGGAGGAUCCGAGCGUUAUCCGGAUUUAUUGGGUUUAAAGGGAGCGUAGAUGGGUUGUUAAGUCAGUUGUGAAAGUUUGCGGCUCAACCGGAAAAUUGCAAUUGAUACUGGCAGUCUUGAGUACAGUAGAGGUAGGCGGAAUUCGUGGUGUAGCGGUGAAAUGCGUAGAUAUCACGAAGAACCCCGAUGGCGAAGGCAGCUUACUAAACUGUGACUGACAUUGAGGCUCGAAAGUGUGGGGAGCAAACAGGAUUAGAUACCCGAGUAGUC
Molecule: ribosomal RNA, 460 nt
Filed under: uncultured bacterium
Lineage: Bacteria
Description: partial 16S ribosomal RNA
Rfam family: Bacterial small subunit ribosomal RNA
Source: RNAcentral